RNAcentral lists this long non-coding RNA (281 nucleotides) under Phascolarctos cinereus (koala). Its description in RNAcentral is "lncRNA (ENSPCIG00000032171.1)". Lineage: Eukaryota; Metazoa; Chordata; Mammalia; Diprotodontia; Phascolarctidae. The record is from RNAcentral.
AGGAAAGUCAAAAUCAGUCUAAGGGAAAUGAAAAGAAAAAAGUUAAAAGAUGAAAAGUCCAAGUUACAAAAACUGACUUGAAGCCUACCUCCAGAAAAUUUUCCUCCAUAAAGGUAAAAGAGGGAAUAAAAAGGGAGAGCACAAGGGAAGCAUCAUUUCAUAAGGAAGGAAAUGAAGAAAUAAGCCAAUCUUCAUCAGCAAUUUCAAAAAGUCAUUGGAGCAGGUGAUUCAGAACUCAGUUAAUCAUUCACGCUUACUUGGAAGUUGUUACUAUAAAAUUA